Molecule: transfer RNA, 65 nt
Filed under: Dipodomys ordii (Ord's kangaroo rat)
Lineage: Eukaryota; Metazoa; Chordata; Mammalia; Rodentia; Heteromyidae
Rfam family: tRNA
About the family: Transfer RNA (tRNA) molecules are approximately 80 nucleotides in length. Their secondary structure includes four short double-helical elements and three loops (D, anti-codon, and T loops). Further hydrogen bonds mediate the characteristic L-shaped molecular structure. tRNAs have two regions of fundamental functional importance: the anti-codon, which is responsible for specific mRNA codon recognition, and the 3' end, to which the tRNAs corresponding amino acid is attached (by aminoacyl-tRNA synthetases). tRNAs cope with the degeneracy of the genetic code in two manners: having more than one tRNA (with a specific anti-codon) for a particular amino acid; and 'wobble' base-pairing, i.e. permitting non-standard base-pairing at the 3rd anti-codon position.
Source: Rfam by way of RNAcentral
GGGAAUGUGGCUUAGUGGUAGAGUGCUUGCCUAGCAUGCAUGAAGGGUUUGAUUCCUCAAUACCA